AUUAACAAUCUGCAAGUGGUCCGAUUUGAACUCCUAUGAACAUACUGUUCAUCUUCUUUGUUAAAAAAAGUCUUAACCGAACCGAACACACUGAAUCCCACCCAUUCAAUCAAACAUCUCACUGGUACAGUUCAUGAUUAACAACGAAAUGAUGGUUGUUUUAAUAUAAGAUAAGUCAGAUGAUUAAAGGUGAAGAGAGGUAUACGGAAACAACGAUCCGUAAGUUUCGUCGAAGACUCCCGUCGUCUUCUCCGACGGCGUCGGACUUCUCCGGCGAGUUAAGGCAGUUGCAGGUUGUGCGAAAAGGGUUGUGGGUGUGCGUUUAGUGAAAAAGUAAGAAGAAAGUGGUGUCUAAACAGAUUUGUAGGAUCCUUGAUUCUUGUUUUGGUAACACUUAAAGUUUCCGAAUCAAGGUUGGAGGGUGUUUGGUAAUUCAAUGAAGAAAAUCGUCCAGGUAACACACCACAUCAACAGCUGCGCCAUGCAGUUUGUCUAAAAGAUGCAAACACCACAUCAACAGUUGCACCAUGCAGUUUGUCUAAAAGAUGCAAUUUUUGCCUACUUGAAUGGUAUCAUCAUUAUUUUUUUGUCCGGCCCGUAUUGUACGAAACUGCAGUUGAAGUCAUUGCUUUUAAAUGCCUUAUACAUGAUCUUUUAUUGCAAUGUAUUGAAAAGCCUCUUCAACUAUC
Long non-coding RNA from Helianthus annuus (common sunflower), 689 nucleotides. RefSeq lists it as uncharacterized. NCBI's taxonomy places the organism in Eukaryota, Viridiplantae, Streptophyta, Magnoliopsida, Asterales, Asteraceae. The transcript has 2 exons. The record is from RefSeq and is a predicted model, not a curated record.